AUGGACCAGUUCCACGACGGGCAGCACGUGCGGCUGCGGAACCGUCGGCGCGGCCGGUACGUCCGCGCCGCCGCCGACGGGGUGAGAGUCACCCUCAGCCGGCGCCGCGCGUCGCUGAACGUCGCGUGGACGGUGCACGUCUACCACAGCGCCGACGGCGACGGCCCGUACCUGCUCCUCCACAGCGCCGCCUACGGCCGCUACCUCGCCGCCACGGACAUGCCGCUGCCGGGCGGGCACGGCCGCUUCCGCGUCGAGCAGCGCAGAUACGACCAGCCGGAGCUGAGGCCCAUCAUGUGGCAGGCCAUCGGGGCCGGCGGCGGGGGCAGGGUCAUGCUCCGCAACGUCGGUGGCCUCCACCUCAGCGUCCGCGUCCGCGGCAGCCGCACCAUGUUCUACUGGGCCGUGGAGCCCAUCCCCGCCAGAGAGGCCGCGCCUCGCCUUCCACCGCCGCUUUCGUUCGGGCAGGAGGAGCCGAGGGCGGAGCGGCGGAUCCGGGUCGUGCAAGCCACCGCCGAGGGGCUCUACGCCGACGAAGGCUGGUCCUAUUUCCAGUUCUUUGGGAGGUGCGUGAACCACCUGAGGAACGCUCUGGCCAGGCACCUCAACCUGCCGCGGAGCCCCGCCUUCGUCAUGUGUGUGCGAGCGGGCCGCCACGGGAGGCUCACCCCACUCGUCGUCGACCUGCCCCACGGCGGCUCCGGCGAGACCCUCGAGGUCGUCGUCAUGCUGUCCGGGACCCCUGCCUGUGAUGCGCUGCGGCACCCGGACAUCGACGCAGAGUAG
This 786-nucleotide ribosomal RNA is filed under the name Triticum aestivum (bread wheat). RNAcentral describes it as "partial small subunit ribosomal RNA". The record is from RNAcentral. Lineage: Eukaryota; Viridiplantae; Streptophyta; Magnoliopsida; Poales; Poaceae.